This 469-nucleotide ribosomal RNA is filed under the name uncultured bacterium. Its description in RNAcentral is "bacterial SSU rRNA". It matches the Rfam family "Bacterial small subunit ribosomal RNA", at positions 26 to 507 of the family's 1533-position model. The record is from RNAcentral.
AGGACGAACGCUGGCGGCGCGCCUAACACAUGCAAGUCGAACGAGCAAAGAGGAGCUUGCUUCUCUGAGCGAGUGGCGAACGGGUGAGUAACGCGUGAGGAACCUGCCUUUCAGAGGGGGAUAACAUUUGGAAACAGAUGCUAAUACCGCAUAAGAUUACAGUACCGCAUGAUACAGUGAUCAAAGGAGCAAUCCGCUGAAAGAUGGGCUCGCGUCCGAUUAGCUAGUUGGUGGGGUAACGGCCUACCAAGGCGACGAUCAGUAGCCGGACUGAGAGGUUGAACGGCCACAUUGGGACUGAGAUACGGCCCAGACUCCUACGGGAGGCAGCAGUCGGGAAUAUUGCGCAAUGGAGGAAACUCUGACGCAGUGACGCCGCGUGCAGGAAGAAGGUUUUCGGAUUGUAAACUGCUUUAGACAGGGAAGAAAAAAGACAGUACCUGUAGAAUAAGCUCCGGCUAACUACGUG